RNAcentral lists this ribosomal RNA (583 nucleotides) under Curvularia pseudobrachyspora. RNAcentral's name for it is "eukaryotic LSU rRNA". The stretch from base 212 to 365 matches the Rfam family "5.8S ribosomal RNA". The record is from RNAcentral. Lineage: Eukaryota; Fungi; Ascomycota; Dothideomycetes; Pleosporales; Pleosporaceae.
AAAAGUCGUAACAAGGUCUCCGUAGGUGAACCUGCGGAGGGAUCAUUACACAAAUUAAAAUAUGAAGGCUUCGGCUGGAUUAUUUUUAUCACCCUUGUCUUUUGCGCACUUGUUGUUUCCUGGGCGGGUUCGCCCGCCACCAGGACCACACCAUAAACCUUUUUUUAUGCAGUUGCAAUCAGCGUCAGUAUAACAAAUGUAAAUCAUUUACAACUUUCAACAACGGAUCUCUUGGUUCUGGCAUCGAUGAAGAACGCAGCGAAAUGCGAUACGUAGUGUGAAUUGCAGAAUUCAGUGAAUCAUCGAAUCUUUGAACGCACAUUGCGCCCUUUGGUAUUCCAAAGGGCAUGCCUGUUCGAGCGUCAUUUGUACCCUCAAGCUUUGCUUGGUGUUGGGCGUCUUUUGUCUUUGGCCUCGCCCAAAGACUCGCCUUAAAACGAUUGGCAGCCGGCCUACUGGUUUCGCAGCGCAGCACAUUUUUGCGCUUGCAAUCAGCAAAAAGGACGGCAAUCCAUCAAGACUACAUUUUUACGUUUGACCUCGGAUCAGGUAGGGAUACCCGCUGAACUUAAGCAUAUCAAUA